ACGGGGGGUGCGAGCGUUGUCCGGAAUCACUGGGCGUAAAGGGUGCGUAGGCGGGUUGUUAAGUCAGUGGUGAAAGCUCCGAGCCUAACUCGGAAAUUGCCAUUGAUACUGACGAUCUUGAGUACAUUUGAGGUGGGCGGAAUGUGUCAUGUAGCGGUGAAAUGCUUAGAUAUGACACAGAACACCGAUUGCGAAGGCAGCUCACUAUACUGUAACUGACGCUGAGGCACGAAAGCGUGGGGAGCAAACAGGA
Molecule: ribosomal RNA, 253 nt
Filed under: uncultured prokaryote
Description: partial 16S ribosomal RNA
Rfam family: Bacterial small subunit ribosomal RNA
Source: RNAcentral